This 293-nucleotide ribosomal RNA is filed under the name uncultured microorganism. RNAcentral describes it as "partial 16S ribosomal RNA". It matches the Rfam family "Bacterial small subunit ribosomal RNA", at positions 505 to 796 of the family's 1533-position model. The record is from RNAcentral.
GUGCCAGCAGCCGCGGUAAUACGUAGGUGGCAAGCGUUGUCCGGAUUUAUUGGGCGUAAAGCGAGCGCAGGCGGUUCCUUAAGUCUGAUGUGAAAGCCCCCGGCUCAACCGGGGAGGGUCAUUGGAAACUGGGGAACUUGAGUGCAGAAGAGGAGAGUGGAAUUCCAUGUGUAGCGGUGAAAUGCGUAGAUAUAUGGAGGAACACCGGUGGCGAAAGCGGCUCUCUGGCUUGUAACUGACGCUGAGGCUCGAAAAGCGUGGGGAGCAAACAGGAUUAGAUACCCUGGUAGUCC